GUUCUUCGGAACUAGAGACCGGCGCACGGGUGCGUAACGCGUAUGCAAUCUACCUUUUACAGAGGGAUAGCCCAGAGAAAUUUGGAUUAAUACCUCAUAGUAUAUAGCCCUGGCAUCAGGAUUAUAUUAAAGUCACAACGGUAAAAGAUGAGCAUGCGUCCCAUUAGCUAGUUGGUAGGGUAACGGCUUACCAAGGCUACGAUGGGUAGGGGUCCUGAGAGGGAGAUCCCCCACACUGGUACUGAGACACGGACUAGACUCCUACGGGAGGCAGCAGUGAGGAAUAUUGGACAAUGGGCGCAAGCCUGAUCCAGCCAUGCCGCGUGCAGGAUGACGGUCCUAUGGAUUGUAAGCUGCUUUUAUACGAGAAGAAACACUCCUUCGUGAAGGAGCUUGACGGUAUCGUAAGAAUAAGGAUAGGCUAACUCCGUGCCAGCAGCCGCGGUAAUACGGAGGAUCCAAGCGUUAUCCGGAAUCAUUGGGUUUAAAGGGUCCGUAGGCGGUUUAAUAAGUCAGUGGUGAAAGCCCAUCGCUCAACGGUGGAACGGCCAUUGAUACUGUUAGACUUGAAUUAUUAGGAAGUAACUAGAAUAUGUAGUGUAGCGGUGAAAUGCUUAGAGAUUACAUGGAAUACCAAUUGCGAAGGCAGGUUACUACUAAUUGAUUGACGCUGAUGGACGAAAGCGUGGGUAGCGAACAGGAUUAGAUACCCUGGUAGUCCACGCCGUANACGAUGGAUACUAGCUGUUGGAAGCAAUUUCAGUGGCUAAGCGAAAGUGAUAAGUAUCCCACCUGGGGAGUACGUUCGCAAGAAUGAAACUCAAAGGAAUUGACGGGGGCCC
This 842-nucleotide ribosomal RNA is filed under the name uncultured bacterium. RNAcentral describes it as "bacterial SSU rRNA". It matches the Rfam family "Bacterial small subunit ribosomal RNA", at positions 75 to 922 of the family's 1533-position model. The record is from RNAcentral.